RNAcentral lists this non-coding RNA (123 nucleotides) under Candidatus Falkowella caecavicola. RNAcentral describes it as "FMN riboswitch (RFN element)". It matches the Rfam family "FMN riboswitch aptamer (RFN element)". From Rfam's summary of the family: The RFN element is a highly conserved domain that is found frequently in the 5'-untranslated regions of prokaryotic mRNAs that encode for flavin mononucleotide (FMN) biosynthesis and transport proteins. This element is a metabolite-dependent riboswitch that directly binds FMN in the absence of proteins. In Bacillus subtilis, the riboswitch most likely controls gene expression by causing premature transcription termination within the 5' untranslated region of the ribDEAHT operon and precluding access to the ribosome-binding site of ypaA mRNA. The record is from RNAcentral. Lineage: Bacteria; Bacillati; Bacillota; Clostridia.
GUUUCAGGGCGGAGUGUAAUUCUCCACCGGUGGUAAAGUCCACGAGCAUAAGAUACAGCGGAGCUGUAUCCGGCAGAUUCGGUGUAAUUCCGAAACCGACGGUUAAAGUCCGGAUGAAAGAAA